UCAACUUUAUUAGAAGAGACGCAUUUAUUAGAUAAAAAGCCAGUUCAUGCUUUUACAGUAUGAAAAUUGGUGAUUUAUAAUAACUUAGCAAAUCGCAAAGUGAAAACAGGCGAUAAAUCAUUCAAGUUUCUGACCUAUCAGCUUUCGACGGUAUGGUAUUGGCUUACCGUGGCAGUGACGGUUAACGGGGGAUUAGGGUUCGAUUCCGGAGAGGGAGCCUGAGAAACGGCUACCACAUCUAAGGAAGGCAGCAGGCGCGCAAAUUACCCAAUUCUAACAGUUUGAGAGAGGUAGUAACAAGAAAUAACAAUACAAGGCAGUUAAAAUGCUUUGUAAUUGGAAUGAUAGAAAUUUAAACCCUUUUUAAAGUAUCAAUUGGAGGGCAAGUCUGGUGCCAGCAGCCGCGGUAAUUCCAGCUCCAAUAGCGUAUAUUAAAAUUGUUGCAGUUAAAAAGCUCGUAGUUGAAGUUCUGCUGAAAGUAACCGGUCUGCUUUUAAUAAAAGUGGUAUCUUGGUAUGUAUUUAGCAAUGAUGUCCUUUGAAGUGUUUUUUACUUUAUUGUAAUAAAGCAUAUUCAGGACUUUUACUUUGAGAAAAUUAGAGUGU
RNAcentral lists this ribosomal RNA (605 nucleotides) under Hepatozoon canis. Its description in RNAcentral is "bacterial SSU rRNA". It matches the Rfam family "Eukaryotic small subunit ribosomal RNA", at positions 183 to 774 of the family's 1831-position model. Lineage: Eukaryota; Apicomplexa; Hepatozoidae. The record is from RNAcentral.